Molecule: long non-coding RNA, 457 nt
Filed under: Mytilus galloprovincialis (Mediterranean mussel)
Lineage: Eukaryota; Metazoa; Mollusca; Bivalvia; Mytilida; Mytilidae
Source: RNAcentral
AAUUGAUAUCAGUUUUGGAAAAAGGGAAACGGGGAUGUGAAAAAAAAGGGGGGGGGGGUUAAAUUUUUCUCAUUUCAGAUUUCAUAAAUAAAAAAGAAAAUUUCUUCAAACAUUUUUUUGAGAGGAUUAAUAUUCAACAGCAUAGUGAAUUGCUCAAAGGCAAAAAAAAACUUUUAAGUUCAUUAGACCACAUUCAUUCUGUGUCAGAAACCUAUGCUGUGUCAACUAUUUAAUUUUAGAUUUAAAAAGUUUGAAGAAGAAAUCUUUAAUUGUUUUGUAAAAUCUUGACAUUUGUUUUGUGUAAAAAAAAACCAUGUAAUGUCAAAAAUUUGAUCACAAUCCAAAUUCAGAGCUGUAUCACGCUUGAAUGUUUUGUCCAUUCUUGCCCCAACUGUUCAGGGUUCGACCUCUGCGGUCGUAUAAAGCUGCGCCCUGCGGAGCACCUGGUUAAGUUUAU